AAUCAACGCUGGCGGCGUGCCUCAGACAUGCAAGUCGAACGAUUAAAGCUCUCUUCGGAGAGUGUAUAGAGUGGCGCACGGGUGAGUAACACGUAAGUAAUCUACCUUUGAGUGGGGAAUAACCCGGGGAAACCCGAGCUAAUACCGCAUAAUGCAGCGGCACCGCAAGGUGACAGUUGUUAAAGGAGCAAUCCGCUUAAAGAGGAGCUUGCGGCAGAUUAGCUAGNGGUAAGGUAAUGGCUUACCAAGGCUUCGAUCUGUAUCCGGCCUGAGAGGGCGGUCGGACACACUGACACUGAAUAACGGGUCAGACUCCUACGGGAGGCAGCAGUCGGGAAUUUUGGGCAAUGGGCGAAAGCCUGACCCAGCAACGCCGCGUGAAGGAUGAAGUAUUUCGGUAUGUAAACUUCGAAAGAAUGGGAAGAAUCAAUGACGGUACCAUUUAUAAGGUCCGGCUAACUACGUGCCAGCAG
Molecule: ribosomal RNA, 473 nt
Filed under: uncultured bacterium
Lineage: Bacteria
Description: bacterial SSU rRNA
Rfam family: Bacterial small subunit ribosomal RNA
Source: RNAcentral